UUAUAAAAUUAUCAGCAAUGAAAUUAACAAGUAUAUAUCAAUGGUACUUAUUUGUUUAACAAUUUACUAUAUAUAUCAUCUAGCAAUAAUUGAUUUUUGGGUAUUGUUUCCGGAAAUUUUUCAUAUUUUCUCCGUAAACGUACGGGUGAAUUGUUUUUCUAUCAAACAUCUUCCUGGUUUUGAAACAAAUAUUGUCACACCGGCCAUGACUUAAAAAAUAAAAAAAUAAACAGAUGUGAUAUAGCAUAUUCACAGUAUGCAACAGUUUGUUCUCGAACUUCAAUUUUGAACAGAUCCCAUUGUAGUCCUAUAUUAUCAACCGCAUUUGGCCUUGACUUCCGUCAGACAAUGACCCAGAUUCGGAUUAGCAAGUUGAAGUGAUAUGUCCGAACACCAGACGUUAUCUAAAGAAAACAAUUUCAAUGAUGGCUUUGUGAUAUACCGUAUUCCAAGUAUUAACCGAGAAUGAAAAGUACUAUUAUUGGAUUUACAUACGGAUAUUAAGAAAACACGGAUUGCUAUAAAUUGUGGUUCGUGUUCUAAAAAUAGAAUUGGGUUUUCCUUUUCUAUACAUUGCGAAGAAGUUUGAAAUAUAUUACCACUCUGGAUUAUAAACGUGGCAUAUGUGACUGAUGGAUUUCUUUUCACAUGGAAUAAUAAUUGUUGGAUAUAGAAAUUUCUUACAAUAUUAAUAUCAAUGAUGUUGUUUUUACCAAAUAUACAUUCACAAAUUGUAAUGUUCUAUUUAUAGCGUACCAUACUAACAGGUGAUUGUUUGGAACAUAAAUCUUUUUUAUGACAUACAUAUGUUUGACAUUCAAAUAGUCAUUAUCUUUUGAAUGUAUGCAAUCUGGCAUUGCAUCACAUUCAUUUUUUUUUGUUUUUUUUAAUUAAUAAAAUAAAAAUAAUAAAUGCUAUGUACAUAUAUUUAUAUUUGAACAUUGUACUGUUUUAACUAUUUAACACUUGUUUUGUAAUAGAUUUACAUAUGGUACUGGU
Long non-coding RNA from Mytilus californianus (California mussel), 999 nucleotides. RefSeq lists it as uncharacterized. The record is from RefSeq and is a predicted model, not a curated record. The transcript has 3 exons. NCBI's taxonomy places the organism in Eukaryota, Metazoa, Mollusca, Bivalvia, Mytilida, Mytilidae.